This 247-nucleotide ribosomal RNA is filed under the name uncultured bacterium. Its description in RNAcentral is "partial 16S ribosomal RNA". It matches the Rfam family "Bacterial small subunit ribosomal RNA", at positions 523 to 769 of the family's 1533-position model. The record is from RNAcentral.
AUACGUAGGGGGCGAGCGUUGUCCGGAAUCACUGGGCGUAAAGGGUGCGUAGGUGGUGAGGUAAGUCGGAUGUGAAAGCUCGGAGCUCAACUCCGAAAUGGCAUUGGAAACUACCUUGCUAGAGGGUUGGAAGGGGGACUGGAAUUCUCGGUGUAGCAGUGAAAUGCGUAGAUAUCAGAUAGAACACCAGUGGCGAAGGCAGUCAACUGGUCCGUUACUGACGCUAAAGCACGAAAGUGUGGGGAGC